CUCUUCUCCUUCCUCUUGGAGCGGAAGUAGCCCAGCAUGAUGCCGCACACGAACACUGCGUAGAAAGACAUGACGAUUAGGAUGUAGAGCUCCUCUGAAGUUUGCCAGAACUUUUCUCCGGAUGAAGUCAUUUAUACUCCCACUCCGGAGUGUCAUCAGGACUGACGUGUUAGGGCCUGGUUGUAAGAUGAAGCCUGCCUCUAUGGAAGCCCUGAAGAAAUGUUAUGUUAAAAAAAUGAAAAAUCAAAUAAAGUUAUUUGAUUUAACAUUA
Molecule: long non-coding RNA, 271 nt
Organism: Austrofundulus limnaeus
Lineage: Eukaryota; Metazoa; Chordata; Actinopteri; Cyprinodontiformes; Rivulidae
Exons: 2
Source: RefSeq, a predicted model, not a curated record